RNAcentral lists this ribosomal RNA (468 nucleotides) under uncultured bacterium. RNAcentral describes it as "partial 16S ribosomal RNA". It matches the Rfam family "Bacterial small subunit ribosomal RNA", at positions 28 to 507 of the family's 1533-position model. The record is from RNAcentral.
GACGAACGCUGGCGGCGUGCUUAACACAUGCAAGUCGAACGGAAAGGCCCUGCUUUUGUGGGGUGCUCGAGUGGCGAACGGGUGAGUAACACGUGAGUAACCUGCCCUUGACUUUGGGAUAACUUCAGGAAACAGGGGCUAAUACCGGAUAGGAGCUCCUGCUGCAUGGUGGGGGUUGGAAAGUUUCGGCGGUUGGGGAUGGACUCGCGGCUUAUCAGCUUGUUGGUGGGGUAGUGGCUUACCAAGGCUUUGACGGGUAGCCGGCCUGAGAGGGUGACCGGCCACAUUGGGACUGAGAUACGGCCCAGACUCCUACGGGAGGCAGCAGUGGGGAAUAUUGCACAAUGGGCGGAAGCCUGAUGCAGCAACGCCGCGUGCGGGAUGACGGCCUUCGGGUUGUAAACCGCUUUCGCCUGUGACGAAGCGUGAGUGACGGUAGUGGGUAAAGAAGCACCGGCUAACUACGUG